RNAcentral lists this ribosomal RNA (419 nucleotides) under bacterium. Its description in RNAcentral is "partial 16S ribosomal RNA". It matches the Rfam family "Bacterial small subunit ribosomal RNA", at positions 355 to 776 of the family's 1533-position model. The record is from RNAcentral.
UGGGUGAUAUUGCACAAUGGGCGAAAGCCUGAUGCAGCGACGCCGCGUGGGGGAUGAAGGCCUUCGGGUUGUAAACUUCUUUUGCUCUGAACAAGGCAUGCUAAUGGGUGUGUUGAGUGUAGGGGUUGAUUAGCGCCGGCUAACUACGUGCCAGCAGCCGCGGUAAUACGUAGGGCGCGAGCGUUGUCCGGAAUUAUUGGGCGUAAAGGGCUUGUAGGUGGCUGGUUGCGUCUGUCGUGAAAGCUCAUGGCUUAACUGUGGGUUUGCGGUGGGUACGGGCUGGCUUGAGUGCAGUAGGGGAGGCUGGAAUUCCUGGUGUAGCGGUGGAAUGCGCAGAUAUCAGGAGGAAUACCGGUGGCGAAGGCGGGUCUCUGGGCUGUUACUGACACUGAGGAGCGAAAGCAUGGGGAGCGAACAGG